AUAUAAAUAAUGUGCUCCCCCCCUUUAAAAACUGUCUAGAUCCACCGUUGAAUGUACAAUACUCCUUACUUUUUAGAUUUUACAUAAAAAUGACGAAUUAAAAAACGUGAGCCCUCCAGAAAAAUUUUCUGAAUUCAAUACUGCAUUCAACAUUUUAAAAGACAUCCAAAAACGUGCAUGCGAAAAAAUUAAGGUGAACCACUUUGGACCGAAUCAGUAUAAAUCCAUUAAUAAUAUUAUAAGGCUAACAAUAUUAAAUAAUGUAAAUUAAUUUUUUAAAUUUUAAUUUGUUUAAAUUAGGUAUAUUAUACCCAGAGAUGAGCAAAUCAAUUUCAAUUCGAUUUAUCGAUAGCCGAUACUUUCGAAAUGAAAAUAUCGACAUUCAAUUAUAAAAUUUAAAACAAAUUUCAAAAAGUGAGGAUUUUCGUAAAAUGUUUCAAAUGAAGUACUACCAGUCUGAAAAUUCGAAUUUUUUGAGGUUUUGAAUGAAAGAAUCGAACCGUGUUUCUAACAGGAAUAGUGAUUUCUGUGAAAAAAAAAUUGGAAUUUUUUUUAUUCUUUACAUACGAGUAGAUACUAUUAUAUAUUGAUAUUAAUACUAUAAUGCGUUUCAUAACAACUGUGACCUGACACUAAUGCGCUUUGGCUGCAAACGAGUUAUGUCCCAAGUACGGAAUUGUGUCCCUGAAAUGUUUUUGGGUUACACGAGUUGUGUCCCGUCAUUUUUUUCACAAUACAUGAGUAGUGUCCACCAUCCAAUCAUUUUUUUUUUUUAAUACGCGAGUUGUGUAUCAUAGUAUACAAAUAAUGGUAAAUAACUACUUUACUGCAAAGUGUUUACGAUUCACCCCUACAAAUACUUUUUGUGUAUGUUUGAUAAUCAGUUAAAAUAGCUAGGUUUAAUAAAAAUGAAAUUUAUAACAUUUUUUAUUUUAGAUUCUGAAGAGGAAUCUAUUGGUUUUACAAUAAUUUUUUUUGUCUUUUGUGAAAGGGUCCUUUUUCUGAAAGGAAAUCUAAUCUUUUUGCUUUUCCCAAGAGUUUUCUCGAUAGAUAGAAAAAAUCAUGAUGGGGAAAAACCUGGAAAAAACGUAAGAAAAAUGGGAAAAUAGGUACAAUAUUAAACGAAUAUUAUUAAAGAAAAUAUAUAAUGCAUACUUGUAUGUAAUUAUUUUAACAUAAUAUAGCAUAUAUAUUGUUUACAAAUUAACACUAUUAACCAAACUCCACUCAGAAUCGUUAUUUUCGUUAGAAAUAGUUGAUCUUUACGUUACGUGCAGAUAUACGUUAAAUUUACCCUCUACCUUCCCAUAUACUUACCUACAACAAAUAGUGGCCCACCCACGUGCAAGUAUGUCCGUCUUUUUUAAAAUACGUUCUAAAUUUUGGUGCGUUUAGAAAUGCAUUACAAUUGCAAAGGAAUUUUCCAAAAACUGCUUAUAUGUUAUUCGCAAACUUAUGUACAUAUAGUAGGUAGUGCAAGUGUGUAUUUUAAAUCCAAUAAUAAAUUAUUGAAAAUUGUUUUUCAAACGCAGUUUUGUACGAAACUCGGAACGCAAUAAUAAUUCAAAAUUUCAAAACGUUCGUUCGCAUGAUAUUAUUUUGUUCUCGUAGUUUUCUUUAAAGUAUUAAAGUACCAUCUGCGUUCAAUUACUAUUACUAAC
Cinara cedri is the source of this 1661-nucleotide non-coding RNA. Lineage: Eukaryota; Metazoa; Arthropoda; Insecta; Hemiptera; Aphididae. The record is from the annotation of a GenBank genome assembly.